RNAcentral lists this ribosomal RNA (254 nucleotides) under uncultured bacterium. RNAcentral's name for it is "partial 16S ribosomal RNA". It matches the Rfam family "Bacterial small subunit ribosomal RNA", at positions 524 to 776 of the family's 1533-position model. The record is from RNAcentral.
UACGUAGGGUGCGAGCGUUAAUCGGAAUUACUGGGCGUAAAGCGUGCGCAGGCGGUCUGUUAAGACCGAUGUGAAAUCCCCGGGCUUAACCUGGGAACUGCAUUGGUGACUGGCAGGCUUUGAGUGUGGCAGAGGGGGGUAGAAUUCCACGUGUAGCAGUGAAAUGCGUAGAGAUGUGGAGGAAUACCGAUGGCGAAGGCAGCCUCCUGGGCCAACACUGACGCUCAUGCACGAAAGCGUGGGGAGCAAACAGG